UGUUAACGGUUUCUGAUCAGAGCGCGGUGGGGUGAACUCUGACCCCGAGGCGCCGCCCUCCGGCUCUCAGCGGUACUGCAGCACUGUCCUUCACACAACAGUUAUAGAUCAUAUACACAGACAUAUUCACCUUCACACAGCAUUAUAUAUCAUGUACACAGACAUAUUCACCUUCACACAUCAGUUACAUAUCAUGUACACAGACAUAUUCACCUUCACACAUCAGUUAUAAAUCAUGUACACAGACAUAUUCACCUUCACACAGCAGUUAUAAAUCAUGUACACAGACAUAUUCACCUUCACACAGCAGUUAUAGAUCAUGUAUACAGUUCAAAGCGCUUUUCUGUGUUUAUUACGAACGCUGUUCACACUCACAACAGUAAUUGUCACACAUCGACAGUGUUUAUCUCGUUACUGACCUCAUGAGAUACUCUCUGAACUCUUUACCACGGACAUAAUCCACGGCUUUCCGCGCCAGAGUGCCAGCCAUCGUCAGUCAAGAGAUGAUACAAGGACGCAGUGAAGUCUACAGUAAACUCUACUCGCUGCUGCAGCUACCAGACGUCAA
Carassius carassius (crucian carp) is the source of this 568-nucleotide long non-coding RNA. RefSeq lists it as uncharacterized. The record is from RefSeq and is a predicted model, not a curated record. NCBI's taxonomy places the organism in Eukaryota, Metazoa, Chordata, Actinopteri, Cypriniformes, Cyprinidae. The transcript is spliced from 2 exons.